Molecule: transfer RNA, 72 nt
Filed under: Bacillota bacterium
Lineage: Bacteria; Bacillati; Bacillota
Description: tRNA-Ala
Rfam family: tRNA
About the family: Transfer RNA (tRNA) molecules are approximately 80 nucleotides in length. Their secondary structure includes four short double-helical elements and three loops (D, anti-codon, and T loops).
Source: RNAcentral
GGGCGGCUAGCUCAGCUGGGAGAGCGCCUCGUUCGCAACGAGGAGGUCGUGGGUUCAAAUCCCAUGCCGUCC